Molecule: ribosomal RNA, 395 nt
Filed under: Lutosa sp. RCP-2009
Lineage: Eukaryota; Metazoa; Arthropoda; Insecta; Orthoptera; Anostostomatidae
Description: partial 12S ribosomal RNA
Rfam family: Bacterial small subunit ribosomal RNA
Source: RNAcentral
CCCUUGAAACUCAAAGAAUUUGGCGGUGUUUUAGUCUAUUCAGAGGAAUCUGUCCUAUAAUCGAUAAUACACGAGUAAUUUAACUUAGUUUUGUAAUCAAUUUGUAUACCGCCGUCAUCAGAUUAUCUUUUUAGAGGAUAAUAGUCAAGAGCCUUAUUAGGGGGCAUGUCAGGUCAAGGUGCAGUUUAUGGCUAAGGAGGAGAUGGAUUACAAUAAAAUAAUUUAUAUGAAAAUAAAAGUGAAAAUUUUAUGGAAAGUGGAUUUGAAGGUAAUAUUAAUUUAUUAUUAAUUUGAUUAUAGCUCUAGAACAUGCACACAUCGCCCGUCGCUCUCAUUCUUAAAAUGAGAUAAGUCGUAACAAAGUAGGUGUACUGGAAAGUGCACCUAGAAAGUUU